AUGGAGGCCGACGCGGCGACCCCGUCCCCGCCGGGGUCGAGGAAGCGCUCGUCCCGCCCCAGGCCCCGCCCGGACGACGGCCGCCCGGAGCCCUACCCCAGCCCCCGCGGCUCCCCCUCCCGCAGGAGCGAGCGCACGCGCCGGCCCCGCGCGCCCGCGGACUCCGACGCGGUGACCGCGCCCGCCGAGCGCAGGGCCCGCGCGCCCUCGCCCGCCCUCCGCAGGCCCGUCCGCGCCUUCCAGGAGGCCGCCGCGCUGGCCGCGCUCGCGGCCAGCGCGCCCGCCGCGGCCUCCUCCUCCGGCGCCAGAUCCUACGGCGUGGUCUGGAGCGACGCCGACGAGGUCGCCCUCCUCAACGCGGCCGCCGCCUUCCGCGUGCGCCACGGCCGCGUCCCGGGCCUCCCGGACAUGGGCGCGCUCUUCGACGCCAUCAGGGGCUCCAUCGCCCCGCACAUCGACCAGCCCAAGGUGUACUACAAGCUGAAGCGGCUCAAGAGCAAGUUCGACCACGCGGUGCCGUCCGCGGUCGUCAGCCGGCACGAGCAGCGCCUGCGCGACCUCUGCAAGAAGGUCUGGGGCGCCAACUUCGGCCUGCCUGCCGAGAAGGAUGCCGCGCCGGAGGAAGACGAGGAAGACGAGGAGGAGGAGCGCGGGCGCGGCAACGUCCCGGACGCGGCAGCCAUGCUCCCGGUGGCCACCGAGGUGCUCGAUGCGUACUGGAAGACGGAUGGCCCGGCGCUGUCCGGGGUGUCCCUGGAGAAGGGGCUGUCAAAGCUAGCAACGGAAGACGCGAGAUGGAUCGAAGCCAAGUGGCGGCGGCAGCUGGAUGCAGAAGUGCACUCGCAGAUUAAGCGGCACGAUCUGGCCAAGGAGGUCUACGGCCUGCUCCUUGACGCCAUUAAGGGCCUCGGCCCCUAG
Molecule: ribosomal RNA, 918 nt
Filed under: Triticum aestivum (bread wheat)
Lineage: Eukaryota; Viridiplantae; Streptophyta; Magnoliopsida; Poales; Poaceae
Description: partial small subunit ribosomal RNA
Source: RNAcentral